UCAUCGAAACAAUUUUACCUCCAAACUUUUCCUAAAAUUUACUUUGAAAUUUUCAUUUUCCCUCUCAACAAAAUUUCUCACUAGAAAAAUAAAAGUUUCCCUCUCACCCUCGUCUCUCUGAUUCCCUGUGGUUUCCAAGUUCCAUUUCAACCAUUCUUCAAAAAUCAUAAUCUACUAGUGGUUCGAUUGUGUUUUUGCAGUUUUCAUCACGAAUCUAGUUCAUACUCUUGAGGCACGAUGUGUACAACAAUAUUGGGUUUCUUAUCUUAUAACAACGCCCCUAGCCCUAGGUGGUCGUUUGGUGUUUCUAGUCAAAAAUUAUCAUCGAUCGUGUUUGUUUGAUUAAUUGAUUAGGUAUUGAAUAUGCCGUAUCCAACAAUGAUAUCCCGGGCAGAGCAACUUGUUAACCUUGAAUAUGUCAGCAAGGAGGUGGGUUGAUGAGAGAGAUUAGGAAGAGUUGCAGAGGGAGUGGUGUGGUGGAACCUGUUUAGAGGGAGAAUUGAGGGUUUCGGUGGUGGUUAGGUGGAGUUGGGUGGUGACAUGGUGGUUGUAGGUGGUGGUGUUAGGAGGAAGAAGAGGUUGAGGGGUGGUGGUGUUAGGAGGAAGAAAUCGAUUUGAGGUAUGUGACUGAAUAAGUCAUGUAUAUAUCACGUACUGGUUAAUAUUUUGGGAUUGGAGUUUGAUAUCCCAGUUUUUAUGUUCACAGUUCGAAAAAUCAAUUUGAUAUCACUGUUUAAAUUGAUUUGUUGUUUUUAUUGUUGGGUGAUUGCACAUAAAGAAGUCUGGUGGGACGACGCAUGAUUAUAGACGGCAGAACGGUUUGAACUCUCACCGAUUUCUACUUGAGGUUGGAGAUGAAGUUUUCCUCAAAAGCAUUCUAAACUCUACCGAGAUUGUAGCAAGAGGAAGAGUCCAAAGUUUGGACCCAAAUGAUCUAGUUGGUGGUACAGAGAUUGGACCAGAAUGGUGUGAGGUAAACGUUCAAGUACCAAUAAAAAAAGAUGAAAACUUAGUAAGACCAUAUGGUUUAUUUUCUACAAUUCAAGAUUUUAUUGGUGCAUCCAUCGCAUGGCCCUAUCCAUUCAUCUCGGUAGUCCAUGAGGAUUGAGUACGCAUGAUGACUCAAGAUUUUAUACUUCUUAUUUCUUUAAUUGCUUUUAAUUUCUUUGUUAAAUGCUAAGACUUUAUGUUAGAUAAUGUUAUCACUUAUUUAUGGU
This 1217-nucleotide long non-coding RNA is filed under the name Helianthus annuus (common sunflower). RNAcentral describes it as "hypothetical non coding rna". The record is from RNAcentral. Lineage: Eukaryota; Viridiplantae; Streptophyta; Magnoliopsida; Asterales; Asteraceae.